AGCUUUGCGCAGUAGCAGUAUCAUAACCCAUGAGGUUAAAUUGAGGGAUGAUUAUUGCUAACUGAAACCAUUUUAUAUAAUUUACUUUUUGUGCAAAACUUUUACAGAACUCACAACACU
Molecule: small nuclear RNA, 120 nt
Filed under: Sphenodon punctatus (tuatara)
Lineage: Eukaryota; Metazoa; Chordata; Lepidosauria; Sphenodontia; Sphenodontidae
Description: U4 spliceosomal RNA (ENSSPUG00000006989.1)
Rfam family: U4 spliceosomal RNA
About the family: U4 small nuclear RNA (U4 snRNA) is a component of the major U2-dependent spliceosome. The structure of U4 snRNA from yeast and human has been reported.
Source: RNAcentral